AAGUCCCAUGAUGAAGACACUUACGAAGCAACUCCUUGAAUCGCUCCCAAGCCUCAUGCAAAGACACAUCAUCCAGUUGUUGGAAAGUUGUGAUCUCAUUCCUCAACUU
This 109-nucleotide small nucleolar RNA is filed under the name Gossypium arboreum. RNAcentral describes it as "Plant small nucleolar RNA R71". It matches the Rfam family "Plant small nucleolar RNA R71". From Rfam's summary of the family: R71 is a member of the C/D box family of snoRNAs containing the C (UGAUGA) and D (CUGA) box motifs. Multiple nearly identical copies of this snoRNA have been identified in Arabidopsis, and it is thought to function as a 2'-O-ribose methylation guide for 18S ribosomal RNA. Lineage: Eukaryota; Viridiplantae; Streptophyta; Magnoliopsida; Malvales; Malvaceae. The record is from Rfam by way of RNAcentral.